RNAcentral lists this ribosomal RNA (252 nucleotides) under uncultured prokaryote. Its description in RNAcentral is "partial 16S ribosomal RNA". It matches the Rfam family "Bacterial small subunit ribosomal RNA", at positions 525 to 775 of the family's 1533-position model. The record is from RNAcentral.
ACGUAGGAGGCGAGCGUUAUCCGGAUUUACUGGGCGUAAAGCGCGUGCGGGCGGGGCGAUAAGUUCGUUGUGAAAGCGCCCAGGCUUAACCGGGCGAGGACAAUGAAGACUGGUCAGCUAGAGGACGGUAGAGGGGUGUGGAAUUCCGGGUGUAGUGGUGAAAUGCGUAGAGAUCCGGAGGAACCCCAGUGGCGAAGGCGACCUGCUCGGCCUUGCCUGACGCUCAGACGCGAAAGCAUGGGGAGCGAACGG